AGUUGUUUGACGAGUCCCAAACAGGACGGAACAUGUGUCCUGGAU
Molecule: non-coding RNA, 45 nt
Filed under: Schistosoma mansoni
Lineage: Eukaryota; Metazoa; Platyhelminthes; Trematoda; Strigeidida; Schistosomatidae
Source: RNAcentral